This 64-nucleotide transfer RNA is filed under the name Cavia porcellus (domestic guinea pig). It matches the Rfam family "tRNA", at positions 1 to 62 of the family's 71-position model. From Rfam's summary of the family: Transfer RNA (tRNA) molecules are approximately 80 nucleotides in length. Their secondary structure includes four short double-helical elements and three loops (D, anti-codon, and T loops). Further hydrogen bonds mediate the characteristic L-shaped molecular structure. tRNAs have two regions of fundamental functional importance: the anti-codon, which is responsible for specific mRNA codon recognition, and the 3' end, to which the tRNAs corresponding amino acid is attached (by aminoacyl-tRNA synthetases). tRNAs cope with the degeneracy of the genetic code in two manners: having more than one tRNA (with a specific anti-codon) for a particular amino acid; and 'wobble' base-pairing, i.e. permitting non-standard base-pairing at the 3rd anti-codon position. Lineage: Eukaryota; Metazoa; Chordata; Mammalia; Rodentia; Caviidae. The record is from Rfam by way of RNAcentral.
GGGGAUUUAGCUCAGCGGCUUAAGCGCCUGCCUUGCAAGCAGACGUUCGUGAGUUCAAUCCCCA